This is a non-coding RNA of Caenorhabditis elegans, 21 nucleotides long. Lineage: Eukaryota; Metazoa; Nematoda; Chromadorea; Rhabditida; Rhabditidae. The record is from Ensembl.
UAGUCAUUGUAGAAUCCGCCA